GUGACAGCCCUGGAAACUGAAGUCCUUUGUUUAUCUAGGGAAAGGCACAGCAGAACCAGUAUAAGUACUAGUCCCCAGUGCUGCCCCAUCACUAUGCUUCAGUCUUUGCAUGAAAGCAACCAUCGUGAUUGGUCAGAGAUUAGUUCACUCUCCAUUGCCAUUCAGUCAUUGGCUUCU
Molecule: small RNA, 177 nt
Filed under: Chelonoidis abingdonii (Abingdon island giant tortoise)
Lineage: Eukaryota; Metazoa; Chordata; Testudines; Testudinidae
Description: TUC338 (ENSCABG00000007654.1)
Source: RNAcentral